Molecule: ribosomal RNA, 616 nt
Filed under: uncultured marine eukaryote
Lineage: Eukaryota
Description: SSU rRNA
Rfam family: Eukaryotic small subunit ribosomal RNA
Source: RNAcentral
AUAUUGCUUGUUGCGGUUAAAAAGCUCGUAGUUGGAUUUCGGCGGGCAGGGGGUGGUUCGCUCUUCAGCGCUACUGCCCCGCUUUGCCCGUGUGAUUGGCGGAGGUUUCGGGGUGCUCUUCGUUGAGUGACUCGGAGCGCCGUCAGGUUUACUUUGAAAAAAUUAGAGUGCUCAAAGCAGGCUUUUCACGCUUGAAUAUUCGUGCAUGGAAUAAUGGAAUAGGAACUCGUUUCUAUUUUGUUGGUUUUCGGAAAUCGAGUUAAUGAUUAACAGGGACAAUUGGGGGCAUUAGUAUUCAGACGACAGAGGUGAAAUUCUUGGACCGUCUGAAGACUGACUACUGCGAAAGCAUUUGCCAAGAGUGUUUUCAUUAAUCAAGAACGAAAGUUAGAGGUUCGAAGGCGAUCAGAUACCGCCCUAGUUCUAACCAUAAACGAUGCCAGCUAGCGAUCUGCCGAGUUUUUUUUGUAGGCUCCGCAGGAAGCUUUCGGGAAACCAAAGCUUUUGGGUUCCGGGGGAAGUAUGGUUGCAAAGCUGAAACAUAAAAGGAAUUGACGGAAGGGCACCACAAGGAGUGGAGCCUGCGGCUUAAUUUGACUCCGGACCUGGGGAGGAU